This 253-nucleotide ribosomal RNA is filed under the name uncultured bacterium. Its description in RNAcentral is "partial 16S ribosomal RNA". It matches the Rfam family "Bacterial small subunit ribosomal RNA", at positions 524 to 776 of the family's 1533-position model. The record is from RNAcentral.
GACGUAGGGCGCGAGCGUUGUCCGGACUUAUUGGGCGUAAAGAGCUCGUAGGCGGUCUGUUACGUCUGCUGUGAAAACCCGGGGCUUAACCCUGGGCUUGCAGUGGAUACGGGCAGACUAGAGGCAGGUAGGGGAGAAUGGAAUUCCCGGUGUAGCGGUGAAAUGCGCAGAUAUCGGGAGGAACACCGGUGGCGAAGGCGGUUCUCUGGGCCUGACCUGACGCUGAGGAGCGAAAGCGUGGGGAGCGAACAGG